ACUGGUAGCCCAAGACUGGUUGCCCACUGAAGCUAAGCAGGGCUGAGCCUGGUCAGUACCUGGAUGGGAGACCUCCUGGGAAAACUAGGUUGCUGCUGGAA
This 101-nucleotide ribosomal RNA is filed under the name Sinocyclocheilus grahami. The record is from RNAcentral. Lineage: Eukaryota; Metazoa; Chordata; Actinopteri; Cypriniformes; Cyprinidae.